This 241-nucleotide ribosomal RNA is filed under the name uncultured bacterium. Its description in RNAcentral is "partial 16S ribosomal RNA". It matches the Rfam family "Bacterial small subunit ribosomal RNA", at positions 92 to 334 of the family's 1533-position model. The record is from RNAcentral.
CGACCGGCGCACGGGUGAGUAACGCGUAUGUAAUCUACCUGUAACAGAGGGAUAACCCGGAGAAAUCCGGACUAAUACCUCAUAGCACAUAUUAUUCGCAUGAGUUUUAUGUUAAAGAGACUCGGUUACAGAUGAACAUGCGUUCCAUUAGCUAGUUGGCGGGGUUACGGCCCACCAAGGCAACGAUGGAUAGGGGUUCUGAGAGGAAGGUCCCCCACACUGGUACUGAGACACGGACCAG